GACGAACGCUGGCGGCGUGCUUAACACAUGCAAGUCGAACGGAAAGGCCCUGCUUUUGUGGGGUGCUCGAGUGGCGAACGGGUGAGUAACACGUGAGUAACCUGCCCUUGACUUUGGGAUAACUUCAGGAAACUGGGGCUAAUACCGGAUAGGAGCUCCUGCUGCAUGGUGGGGGUUGGAAAGUUUCGGCGGUUGGGGAUGGACUCGCGGCUUAUCAGCUUGUUGGUGGGGUAGUGGCUUACCAAGGCUUUGACGGGUAGCCGGCCUGAGAGGGUGACCGGCCACAAUGGGACUGAGAUACGGACCAGACUCCUACGGGAGGCAGCAGGGGGGAAUAUUGCACAAUGGGCGGAAGCCUGAUGCAGCAACGCCGCGUGCGGGAUGACGGCCUUCGGGUUGUAAACCGCUUUCGCCGGUGACGAAGAGUGAGUGACGGUAAUGGGUAAAGAAGCACCGGCUAACUACGUG
This 468-nucleotide ribosomal RNA is filed under the name uncultured bacterium. RNAcentral's name for it is "partial 16S ribosomal RNA". It matches the Rfam family "Bacterial small subunit ribosomal RNA", at positions 28 to 507 of the family's 1533-position model. The record is from RNAcentral.